AGCUUUGCGCAGUGGCAGUGUCGUAGCCAAUGAGGUUUAUCCGAGGCGCGAUUAUUGUUAAUUGAAAACUUUUCCCAAUACCCCGCCAUGACGACUUGAAAUAUAGUCGGUGUUGGCAAUUUUUGGUAGUCUUUGCGGAGA
RNAcentral lists this small nuclear RNA (141 nucleotides) under Aotus nancymaae (Ma's night monkey). RNAcentral describes it as "U4 spliceosomal RNA (ENSANAG00000005187.1)". It matches the Rfam family "U4 spliceosomal RNA". From Rfam's summary of the family: U4 small nuclear RNA (U4 snRNA) is a component of the major U2-dependent spliceosome. The structure of U4 snRNA from yeast and human has been reported. The record is from Rfam by way of RNAcentral. Lineage: Eukaryota; Metazoa; Chordata; Mammalia; Primates; Aotidae.